UAAGGAAUAUUGGACAAUGGAGGCAACUCUGAUCCAGCCAUGCCGCGUGAGGGAAUAAGGCCCUAUGGGUUGUAAACUUCUUUUAGACGGGACAAAACCCCUUUACGUGUAAAGGGUUGAUGGUACUGUCAGAAUAAGCAUCGGCUAACUUCGUGCCAGCAGCCGCGGUAAUACGAAGGAUGCAAGCGUUAUCCGGAAUUAUUGGGUGUAAAGGGUGCGUAGGCGGACUAAUAAGUCAGUGGUGAAAGCCUGCAGCUUAACUGCAGAAUUGCCAUUGAUACGGUUAGUCUUGAGUACAGUUGAGGUAGGCGGAAUGUGUCAUGUAGCGGUGAAAUGCUUAGAUAUGACACAGAACACCGAUUGCGAAGGCAGCUUGCUAAGCUGUAACUGACGCUGAGGCACGAAAGCGUGGGGAGCAAACA
RNAcentral lists this ribosomal RNA (422 nucleotides) under uncultured bacterium. RNAcentral's name for it is "bacterial SSU rRNA". It matches the Rfam family "Bacterial small subunit ribosomal RNA", at positions 355 to 774 of the family's 1533-position model. The record is from RNAcentral.